Molecule: ribosomal RNA, 468 nt
Filed under: uncultured bacterium
Lineage: Bacteria
Description: bacterial SSU rRNA
Rfam family: Bacterial small subunit ribosomal RNA
Source: RNAcentral
GGACCCGCACAAGCGGUGGAGCAUGUGGUUUAAUUCGACGAUACACGAAGAACCUUACCUGGACUUGACAUAGUAAGAAUGAUUUAGAGAUAGAUUAGUGUCUGCUUGCAGAAACUUGCAUACAGGUGCUGCACGGCUGUCGUCAGCUCGUGUCGUGAGAUGUUGGGUUAAGUCCCGCAACGAGCGCAACCCUCGUCCUUAGUUGCUAACAGUUCGGCUGAGAACUCUAAGGAGACUGCCUACGCAAGUAGGAGGAAGGUGAGGAUGACGUCAAGUCAUCAUGGCCCUUACGUCCAGGGCUACACACGUGCUACAAUGGGGUAUACAAAGAGCAGCAAUACGGUGACGUGGAGCAAAUCUCAAAAAUGCCUCCCAGUUCGGAUUGUAGUCUGCAACUCGACUACAUGAAGUUGGAAUCGCUAGUAAUCGUAGAUCAGCUAUGCUACGGUGAAUACGUUCCCGGGUCUU